GAAUUUUGGACAAUGGGCGCAAGCCUGAUCCAGCCAUGCCGCGUGAGUGAAGAAGGCCUUCGGGUUGUAAAGCUCUUUCAGAUGCGAAGAUGAUGACGGUAACAUCAGAAGAAGCCCCGGCUAAUUUCGUGCCAGCAGCCGCGGUAAUACGAAAGGGGCAAGCGUUGUUCGGAUUUACUGGGCGUAAAGGGCACGCAGGCGGUCCUGCCAGUCAGGGGUGAAAGCCCGGGGCUCAACCCCGGAACUGCCUCUGAUACUGCAGGACUAGAGACUAGGAGAGGGUGGUGGAAUUCCCAGUGUAGAGGUGAAAUUCGUAGAUAUUGGGAGGAACACCAGAGGCGAAGGCGGCCACCUGGACUAGAUCUGACGCUCAGGUGCGAAAGCGUGGGGAGCAAACAGG
This 400-nucleotide ribosomal RNA is filed under the name uncultured bacterium. RNAcentral's name for it is "bacterial SSU rRNA". It matches the Rfam family "Bacterial small subunit ribosomal RNA", at positions 359 to 776 of the family's 1533-position model. The record is from RNAcentral.